Molecule: long non-coding RNA, 590 nt
Organism: Hibiscus syriacus
Lineage: Eukaryota; Viridiplantae; Streptophyta; Magnoliopsida; Malvales; Malvaceae
Exons: 4
Source: RefSeq, a predicted model, not a curated record
ACUGAAGGAAAUCUUUCAGAACUAAUUUACAACUUUCUUUGCUUUCUUAGUAAAAAAAAUUGUGGCAUGGGAAGGCACACAUUCCUCGUGCAUCCCAAGUCCGAGGACUAUCGAAGCUGGCUGCUUAUUCGAUAUCUAUCAUGGAUGGAAAACGUGCUCUACGGUUAUAUAUCAUUCAUGGAUGGCAUAACAAUGGGCUUUGGAGUUGGCCUAUCUAGUCAUGGUCGCUACAUAGUGGUAACUGAGGGGAGAUUGUGCAUUUUGGUGCCGGGUACAUCACAGAUUCCUGUUAUAAAUUCCUCUGUAUAAAACAUGGUCUUCCUCUUAGUUCAGCUUGUAAGUGUCAUCAGUUUCAUUACAUGGCUGAAUGAUUUCUAUCAAAUCGAACUGUAUUACAUUUUCUUCUGUUGGAUCCAUAUGAUGUCACUUGCAACUGCUGCAUAUGUUAUAUGCGUAGUUGGGAUCAUCAUGAUGUACAUCUGGUAUGCGCUGGAACCGUCCUGCCUACUUAAUAUUUUCUUCAUCACGUGGACACUGGUACUCAUUCAGCUCAUGAUGAGCGUUUCCCUCCACCCUAAAGUAUGUUCUCG